This 639-nucleotide ribosomal RNA is filed under the name fungal endophyte. RNAcentral's name for it is "eukaryotic LSU rRNA". The stretch from base 182 to 335 matches the Rfam family "5.8S ribosomal RNA". The record is from RNAcentral. Lineage: Eukaryota; Fungi.
CAUUAAAGAGUUCUAUAACUCCCAAACCCAUGUGAACAUACCUAACGUUGCCUCGGCAGGUCGCACCUACCUUGUAGCACCCUACCCUGUAGGGCCUACCCGGGAGGUGCGGGUAAGCCUGCCGGCGGCCCACCAAACUCUGUUUGAUAUUGAAUUCUGAACCUAUAACUAAAUAAGUUAAAACUUUCAACAACGGAUCUCUUGGUUCUGGCAUCGAUGAAGAACGCAGCGAAAUGCGAUAAGUAAUGUGAAUUGCAGAAUUCAGUGAAUCAUCGAAUCUUUGAACGCAUAUUGCGCCCAUUAGUAUUCUAGUGGGCAGGACCGUUCGAGCGUCAUUUCAGCCCUUAAGCCUUCGUUGCUUAGUGUUGGGAGCCUACGGCAACGUAGCUCCUCAAAGUUAGUGGCGGAGUUGGUUCACACUCUAGACGUAGUAAUUUUUUAUCUCGCCUAUUAGUUGGACUAAUCCCCUGCCGUAAAACCCCCAAUUUAUCAAGGUUGACCUCGAAUCGGUUCAGACAAACUCGCUAAAUUGAAGCAUCUUAGUCAGCGAAGGAAAAGAAACCAACAGGGAUUGCCCUAGUAACGGCGAGUGAAGCGGCAACAGCUCAAAUUUGAAAUCUGGCCCUCGGGUCCGAGUUG